This 277-nucleotide ribosomal RNA is filed under the name uncultured Pseudomonas sp. RNAcentral describes it as "partial 16S ribosomal RNA". It matches the Rfam family "Bacterial small subunit ribosomal RNA", at positions 1107 to 1382 of the family's 1533-position model. Lineage: Bacteria; Pseudomonadati; Pseudomonadota; Gammaproteobacteria; Pseudomonadales; Pseudomonadaceae. The record is from RNAcentral.
GUCCUUAGUUACCAGCACGUUAUGGUGGGCGACUCUAAGGAGACUGCCGGUGGACAACCGGAGGAAGGUGGGGAUGACGUCAAGUCAUCAUGGCCCUUACGGCCUGGGCUACACACGUGCUACAAUGGUCGGUACAAAGGGUUGCCAAGCCGCGAGGUGGAGCUAAUCCCAUAAAACCGAUCGUAGUCCGGAUCGCAGUCUGCAACUCGACUGCGUGAAGUCGGAAUCGCUAGUAAUCGUGAAUCAGAAUGUCACGGUGAAUACGUUCCCGGGCCUU